AGAAUAAUAUUGUUACGCGAUGCAACGUGGUGGGCGAGCCAGCGACGGCGGCAGCCGGAGCGAGGGAGCCCGCGGCGCCGUGACGGGUCGCUCCUCCGACCCACGCGCUGCCGCCGGCCGGCCGUCCGCUCCUCCGCCGACCGGCUAUGCACACCGCCCAGCUCCGCCCCGAUACGAGCUGGGUAAAAUCCCACCCACCGCCCAGCUCCCACCAGAGAAUGGCCUCCGCCCCUGCUUUCAGCGCGCCGCCGCCGGUCUACCGAUUCCACGCCGCCGCCGGCCUCCCGCCACACACGCCGCCGCCAUCCUACCGUCACACGCGCCGCCGCCGCCUCCCGCCACACGCAUCGCCGCCGGCCUCCCGCAAGACUCGCCGCCGCCGGCCCCCACUUCCACCCGCCAUCAGGCACCUUCAAGGGCCACCCAGUCACCUUCACCGCCGCCACGAGCGACGCGCCUCCUCCCAUGGAUGCGGUCGCUGCCCUGCGCCUCCCGCUGGCGACGAGCCCAGUCCUCCUGCCUUCUUCCAGCGACGCGCGCCGUUCAACGCCACCACCACUGCCAGUUCAACACUGCCCCGCUUUGCUUCUCUCAACUUCAAAAAGAGGUUCAGUUCAGAAGUUUCAACAAGAAAAAGAGGUUCAUUUCAGAACUUGCGUGUGGUGUCUGUACUGCUGCUAACCUUGUUUUGCUUCUUUACAAAGCCUCUAGGAAUAUUAGUACUGAAUAGUUUCUGUGAGUUCCAGCCGGCAAGUGGCCCUGCACAACAACAAUCAGCAGUUCGACAGGGGAGUGUGGGUCAGUACCACGCCGACAAGUCAGGCAGACGUCCUUUGCAUCAUGAACUGGUGCAGUUCGAUCUUGCGCAAGCAGGAAAUUCCCUGAUGCCGAGUGUGUCAGUACCACCCUACACAGCAGCAAUCAUUGUCUUCUUGCAGCUUCCAUUGAACACUUAAUCCAAGGAAUUUUGGGUGGAGCAACAUUUGUCGGUCUUAGGAAUCUCGGUCAUUAUUCACCACCAGACAUGGUGAUGGUCAUUGCUGCUCUUUCCAUCGCAUGGGAGCCGGUUGUUGCUCCUCUUCAAUAUCUCUAUAUCUGAACUAUAGUUGCUUGCUAUCUCACCCCUCUCAAAACUGUUCGAUGAUUCAUGUACAGAGAAAUUAAAUACCUUUUUUGUGUUUCUUUUUUAAGUCAUUAUAUGCUCUCGAAAUGUUUAUGUUUAUGCCUCAAAAAAGAGAGAAAGAGAAAACCAGUACAUGUGUCUCACACUCUGUUACAUAAGAUUUUAAUUAUCUUUGCCACAAAGCUUCAUUUAUCCAGAGAAGUUCAAAGUAAAGAUUAGUUCACACUUUAGGUUUUUCUCCUUUGGUCUAUUUGUUAAGUUCUGACUCCUUCAGUUUUGGUUGCAGAGAAAGUUCAAAGUUCAUGCUCCUUUAUUUUUUGUUAAGUCAGGCAGAGUCAGGUUUUGCUCGGGCAUCAUCUCGUCUCGUCCGUUCAGCAAAAGCCUCCAGAUAAGUUUACACUUGUGGUUUUGCUCAUUGGUUUAAUUCUUCAGUCCACACUCCUUGGGUUUUUGUUCUAGAGAAGUUAAAGAAAACCUGUAGAAGUUUGUGGUAAGUUAUGUUUCAUUUGAAGCAGGAACAUCAACUGCCACACCGAUGGUGUUUUGUAUAAUUCGUACCAAUUGAUUCAUAUGUUUGAUUCUAACCCUUUAAAUUUUACUGGACUACGCAGCCCAAGGACAUGGUGUUGAAGCUGUCGGGCGCGCAGAGGCAGGGGGUGCUGAAGCGCGGGGGCUUGCUGCUGCCGAGGGGCCGAACAACGCCCCUGUACUAGAGCAGGUAGUACUGCCUGGGCGUGUCCACCUGCGACGUACCUGGCCACAGUGGCGGCACAGCGGCGUCGAGCACGAGCUGCACGCCGCGCUUGCCCAUGCAAUCCGCCGCCUGCUAGCCCCGCAUCCUGCCGGCGGUCGUCUCCGCAUCAGUUCGAUUUGGGCACUUGGGGCAGCGGCUUAAAAGUUGACUGAUGCCAUGAUUUGGCAUUUUACUCUAUGAAUAGUGAAAUAGUGUUGUGUAUUCUUAUCAGUUCAUGAUUGCCAUCAUGAUACUUGUAUUGGGGGCUGGAGCUCAUGUAUUACUCCCAGGUGUUUGCUUAAAUGCUUCAGUCCAACAAAAAGCUCCAGAAAAGUUCAUAGUUUGUUUUCAGAAAAGCUCCAUGGCAUUUCUUCGGCUGCAGCAUGUACAUGCAUCCCUACAAAAAAAAAUGUCCUAUAGGUGUUUAUGUUCAUGCCUACAAGUGAUUUGUUGUGAAGUUAGGCAAGAUGAAGCUGGGACAAGUCCGAAUCGCGUGGCAGCGCCUCUUGUGAUUACUACUACAAAGCAGAAAGGAUCUCUAACGCUCGAGCCACAGCAGCUCCCAGGCCGUUCACCGUCGGCACCAUAGUACGUUCACUGCCGACACCCAAGGCCGUUCACCGACGCAACGAUGAGGUCUGGCCGCCGUUCACCGACGCAACGAUGAGGUCUGGCCGUCGUCACCCACGACCGUGCACUCGCAUCUCCCCAGCUUCAAGUAGUGUCCUCCUCUAGCUGCAGGACGCGUUCUCCUCCAGCUGCAGGACAAUGCUAUGGUGCACAUUCAAGGCAGCAAGCACACCACAGGUCGCAGCGCUGCCGUCGACCACAUGUGUGCAUGCGUGCGAUUGAUGCGUGUGUGCCUUAGGUCUCCAAUUAGUUCAACUACAAAUAAUUACAUCCGUUCGACUACAUAUAUUACACUAGUUCAACUGUGUGCGUCGCACCAAUUGACCUAAGUUUUACAUAUGUUAUCACUUCAGAAAAACUAUAGAUUUUGAUGAUGCAAGAUUAGUUAUUUUUUCUAUUUCCUAUAAGUUCAAGUGAUCAAUUGCUAUAGUUGGCGGGUUGUUUACUCAGGCAGUUAAAAAAGUGGUCAUUGCUGUCUUUUUUUAAAGAUGUUCGAGUGAUUCUUGUAAAAAAUGCUGCCUAUAUUAAGAGAAGAACUCCUUCCUCCAUUGGCUGUCUCAGUUCAACUGGUUAAGCGUCUCAGUGCAACUAUAUUGACUAUGCCCAGAACAUUAACAUGGUGAUGGUUGUGUUUCAUACAUCCAGGCAAUAUGAUGCUUGCAAUGGAGUAUUGUACAAAGCUCCCAUUUGCAUUGAAUACCGCUACCACCAUGUAUUUGUACUUCAACGAACUUGUUGAAACAACUCUUGUACAACUCUUUCUAUCUCACUCAUAUUUCUAGUUUU
Non-coding RNA from Aegilops tauschii subsp. strangulata, 3272 nucleotides. The record is from RefSeq and is a predicted model, not a curated record. Lineage: Eukaryota; Viridiplantae; Streptophyta; Magnoliopsida; Poales; Poaceae.